GGGUUGUGAGGUUAAGCGACUAAGCGUACACGGUGGAUGCCCUGGCAGUCAGAGGCGAUGAAGGACGUGCUAAUCUGCGAAAAGCGUCGGUAAGGUGAUAUGAACCGUUAUAACCGGCGAUGUCCGAAUGGGGAAACCCAGUGUGAUUCGUCACACUAUCGUUAACUGAAUACAUAGGUUAACGAGGCGAACCGGGGGAACUGAAACAUCUAAGUACCCCGAGGAAAAGAAAUCAACCGAGAUUCCCCCAGUAGCGGCGAGCGAAC
Molecule: ribosomal RNA, 266 nt
Filed under: Klebsiella quasipneumoniae subsp. similipneumoniae
Lineage: Bacteria; Pseudomonadati; Pseudomonadota; Gammaproteobacteria; Enterobacterales; Enterobacteriaceae
Description: partial 23S ribosomal RNA
Rfam family: Bacterial large subunit ribosomal RNA
Source: RNAcentral